GCGAACGGGUGAGUAACGCGUAGGUAACCUGCCUUGUAGCGGGGGAUAACUAUUGGAAACGAUAGCUAAUACCGCAUAACAAUGGAUGACACAUGUCAUUUAUUUGAAAGGGGCAAUUGCUCCACUACAAGAUGGACCUGCGUUGUAUUAGCUAGUAGGUGAGGUAACGGCUCACCUAGGCGACGAUACAUAGCCGACCUGAGAGGGUGAUCGGCCACACUGGGACUGAGACACGGCCCAGACUCCUACGGGAGGCAGCAGUAGGGAAUCUUCGGCAAUGGGGGCAACCCUGACCGAGCAACGCCGCGUGAGUGAAGAAGGUUUUCGGAUCGUAAAGCUCUGUUGUAAGUCAAGAACGAGUGUGAGAGUGGAAAGUUCACACUGUGACGGUAGCUUACCAGAAAGGGACGGCUAACUACGUGCCAGCAGCCGCGGUAAUACGUAGGUCCCGAGCGUUGUCCGGAUUUAUUGGGCGUAAAGCGAGCGCAGGCGGUUUGAUAAGUCUGAAGUUAAAGGCUGUGGCUCAACCAUAGUUCGCUUUGGAAACUGUCAAACUUGAGUGCAGAAGGGGAGAGUGGAAUUCCAUGUGUAGCGGUGAAAUGCGUAGAUAUAUGGAGGAACACCGGUGGCGAAAGCGGCUCUCUGGUCUGUAACUGACGCUGAGGCUCGAAAGCGUGGGGAGCGAACAGGAUUAGAUACCCUGGUAGUCCA
RNAcentral lists this ribosomal RNA (711 nucleotides) under Streptococcus sp. HFH0045. Its description in RNAcentral is "bacterial SSU rRNA". It matches the Rfam family "Bacterial small subunit ribosomal RNA", at positions 98 to 797 of the family's 1533-position model. Lineage: Bacteria; Bacillati; Bacillota; Bacilli; Lactobacillales; Streptococcaceae. The record is from RNAcentral.